CCUACGGGAGGCAGCAGUGGGGAAUAUUGCACAAUGGGCGAAAGCCUGAUGCAGCAACGCCGCGUGAGCGAUGAAGGCCUUCGGGUCGUAAAGCUCUGUCUUCGCUGACGAUAAUGACGGUAAGCGAGGAGGAAGCCACGGCUAACUACGUGCCAGCAGCCGCGGUAAU
This 169-nucleotide ribosomal RNA is filed under the name uncultured Clostridium sp. RNAcentral's name for it is "partial 16S ribosomal RNA". It matches the Rfam family "Bacterial small subunit ribosomal RNA", at positions 338 to 524 of the family's 1533-position model. Lineage: Bacteria; Bacillati; Bacillota; Clostridia; Eubacteriales; Clostridiaceae. The record is from RNAcentral.